Molecule: ribosomal RNA, 492 nt
Filed under: uncultured bacterium
Lineage: Bacteria
Description: partial 16S ribosomal RNA
Rfam family: Bacterial small subunit ribosomal RNA
Source: RNAcentral
AGUGGACGCUGGCGGUAGGCCUAACACAUGCAAGUCGAACGGCAGCACAGUAAGAGCUUGCUCUUACGGGUGGCGAGUGGCGGACGGGUGAGGAAUACAUCGGAAUCUACUUUUUCGUGGGGGAUAACGUAGGGAAACUUACGCUAAUACCGCAUACGGCCUACGGGUGAAAGCAGGGGAUCUUCGGACCUUGCGCGAUUGAAUGAGCCGAUGUCGGAUUAGCUAGUUGGCGGGGUAAAGGCCCACCAAGGCGACGAUCCGUAGCUGGUCUGAGAGGAUGAUCAGCCACACUGGAACUGAGACACGGUCCAGACUCCUACGGGAGGCAGCAGUGGGGAAUAUUGGACAAUGGGCGCAAGCCUGAUCCAGCCAUACCGCGUGGGUGAAGAAGGCCUUCGGGUUGUAAAGCCCUUUUGUUGGGAAAGAAAAGCAGCAGGUUAAUACCCCGCUGUUCUGACGGUACCCAAAGAAUAAGCACCGGCUAACUUCGUG